Podarcis lilfordi (Lilford's wall lizard) is the source of this 73-nucleotide non-coding RNA. NCBI's taxonomy places the organism in Eukaryota, Metazoa, Chordata, Lepidosauria, Squamata, Lacertidae. The record is from the annotation of a GenBank genome assembly.
GAUUCAUGGCACAAUGGGUCAAUGUGCCUGGCUGUUAACCAGAAGGUUGGUGGUUCAAGCUCACCCAGGGACA